AGCUUUGCGCAGUGGCAGUAUUGCAGCCAGUGAGGUUUAUCCCAGGCGCGAUUAUCGCGAACUGAAAACUCUUCCCAAUACCCCGCCAUGACAACUUGCAAUAUAGUCGGCAUUGGCAAUUUUUGACAGUCUCUAUGGAGA
RNAcentral lists this small nuclear RNA (141 nucleotides) under Aotus nancymaae (Ma's night monkey). Its description in RNAcentral is "U4 spliceosomal RNA (ENSANAG00000003903.1)". It matches the Rfam family "U4 spliceosomal RNA". Rfam says of the family: U4 small nuclear RNA (U4 snRNA) is a component of the major U2-dependent spliceosome. The structure of U4 snRNA from yeast and human has been reported. U4 snRNA presents a k-turn RNA motif in the 5p-SL related to recognition of Snu13 protein. The record is from Rfam by way of RNAcentral. Lineage: Eukaryota; Metazoa; Chordata; Mammalia; Primates; Aotidae.